RNAcentral lists this small RNA (148 nucleotides) under Macaca fascicularis (crab-eating macaque). Its description in RNAcentral is "Metazoan signal recognition particle RNA (ENSMFAG00000056301.1)". Lineage: Eukaryota; Metazoa; Chordata; Mammalia; Primates; Cercopithecidae. The record is from Rfam by way of RNAcentral.
GCCAGGCAUGGUGGCGGGUGCCUGUAAUCCCAGCUACUCAGGAGGCUGAGGCAGGAGAAUCUCUUGAACCCAGGAGGCAGAGAUUGCAGUGAGCCAAGAUCAUGCCAUUGCACUCUAGCCUGGGUGACAGAGUGAGACUCUGUCUCAA